RNAcentral lists this small RNA (262 nucleotides) under Arabidopsis thaliana (thale cress). Its description in RNAcentral is "ATSL278180". The record is from RNAcentral. Lineage: Eukaryota; Viridiplantae; Streptophyta; Magnoliopsida; Brassicales; Brassicaceae.
AAAAACUAUAAUAUAUUCGGAUUUAGUCUUAAGAAGAUUUACCGUUACUUCUAAUGAUAUAUUUGAAUAUUUGAUGGCAAAUCGAAUUCAAAUAACCAACAAGUUGUUGGUCCAAUAAUAAAUUUUUUAGAUAAAGGUAUUGAGUUUUAGACACGUUGGGAGAGAUUUCUUCGUCAAAUAAAAUGAAUUUAUUCUAGUGUGGGUCUCGCAUGUAGGAAAUGUAGGUCUUUUAAUUUUGAAUUUCCAAAUAUUCAAAAAAAAA